CUAGGGAUCCGGGUUUCGAGGGAGGGUAGCGAUCGAGCACUUGAGCACGAGCUGAGAAGAAAUGCGGGGAGAACAAUAGGCUAGAGGUAACCAGGAGCUGGUGCUGCGUCAUCCCUGGUGUCUGAGUUUGUCUUCACCGACGCGGUAACGAGGUACACGUCAAGCAAAGAGCUCAUCUUUCCGCGACCUGUCACGAAAACCGACCACCCACAAUUUUUUCCAAGCACGAUCGCAUUAUCUCACAGAAUUUUCGUUGUCAAUGAGUUCUAAGAUAAUCUGCAUCACACAGCUAGUUAAUUAAAAAUAAAUCACGUCAUAGAUCGAAUAUACUUAACUCUACACGAGCACUUCACUUAUGGUGUCUUUCCAUGCACGUGAUUGGUAAGAAAAAUUGCUAGUUUCCUACAUAAAAUCAGAGAUGGCACUUUGACACGUGUUCGAAAGAGGCACGUGUGGUGUAAAAUAUAGUGAAUUGAUAUAUUGAUCUCGUGAUCUCUAAUUUUUUUGGUGCAUGGUUAAUUUCCGUUUCUUCGUUUCUAUAGCCUGCAUAAAAAUUUAUUCGCAGCUGCUUGAUCUUUCCGCGUCGUUUCGCACCGCGCAAACGACCGUAGACACUCGGCCAAUACAUACUUAUCAAAUGCAGGCGGCAUAGUCAGUACAAAACGAUAUGUACGAAUAAGAAAAGGACAAUACGGCAAAUCACGCAAGACCAAGCGAGAUAAGAGAGAAGAACGAAAUGGAUGCCUGUACUCGUGUACGAAUAUACGAAUAAAUGUGUGCGCGUGCGCGUUGCAUGUACACAUUCACAGAGCAUCCAACGUAUGUCACGAUAUUACAUGGGUUGCUGCGUUUUUACGUUGCCGGAGAGCAAUGCGUACACCAUGGCGGAAGUGCGUAAGAGAACGCCGACUGCCAGAGGAAAGAAAAUAGAAAGAAUAGAGAAGAGAAGAAGAGCAGAGAAGAAAAAAAAGAAAAAACUAAAGAAGGGAGAGAGAACGAAGGCAGAAGAGAACUCGGAUGUGCCGUGGAGCAGAGUCGUGUGAGGAGAAACAAGGAUUUAAAAAGAAAUGAGUGAAACUAUUGUCCGAGCGAAUCCAAGUAGAGGCAGUAGGAAAUGGGAACUCGUAUACCCGUAUGGAAAGUACAGAGUGAACGCAUUACACGCAAGCGACGACUCGUACUCGAUGAAGAUGUAAGGGCCGCAUUGUGUCCUGCAUCGUCGAGAGAACUCGAGAAUAAAAAGAGAGAAAGAGAAAGUAGUACACAUCAUGUAGAGAAAGAGAGAAAGAGAGAGAGAGAGGCCGGGAACCUCUAACUACUAACGUGGGGUAGAUCUCGCCGCGGAUAGUGCUUUAUUUCAU
Molecule: long non-coding RNA, 1361 nt
Organism: Apis dorsata (giant honeybee)
Lineage: Eukaryota; Metazoa; Arthropoda; Insecta; Hymenoptera; Apidae
Exons: 3
Source: RefSeq, a predicted model, not a curated record